CCGUCAGGUCCGGAAGGAAGCAGCGGUA
Molecule: non-coding RNA, 28 nt
Filed under: Thermoanaerobacter pseudethanolicus ATCC 33223
Lineage: Bacteria; Bacillati; Bacillota; Clostridia; Thermoanaerobacterales; Thermoanaerobacteraceae
Source: Rfam by way of RNAcentral